RNAcentral lists this ribosomal RNA (429 nucleotides) under Chloroflexota bacterium. RNAcentral's name for it is "Chloroflexi bacterium partial 16S ribosomal RNA". It matches the Rfam family "Bacterial small subunit ribosomal RNA", at positions 355 to 776 of the family's 1533-position model. The record is from RNAcentral. Lineage: Bacteria; Bacillati; Chloroflexota.
UGGGGAAUAUUGCACAAUGGGCGCAAGCCUGAUGCAGCCACGCCGCGUGUAUGAAGAAGGCCUUCGGGUUGUAAAGUACUUUCAGUCGGGAGGAAGGUGUCAAGGUUAAUAACCUUGGCAAUUGACGUUACCGACAGAAGAAGCACCGGCUAACUCCGUGCCAGCAGCCGCGGUAAUACGGAGGGUGCAAGCGUUAAUCGGAAUUACUGGGCGUAAAGCGCACGCAGGCGGUUGAUUGAGUCAGAUGUGAAAUCCCCGGGCUUAACCCGGGAAUUGCAUCUGAUACUGGUAAGCUAGAGUCUUGUAGAGGGGGGUAGAAUUCCAUGUGUAGCGGUGAAAUGCGUAGAGAUGUGGAGGAAUACCGGUGGCGAAGGCGGCCCCCUGGACAAAGACUGACGCUCAGGUGCGAAAGCGUGGGGAGCAAACAGG